GAUGAACGCUGGCGGCGUGCCUAAUACAUGCAAGUCGAGCGAACAGAUGAGGAGCUUGCUCCUCUGACGUUAGCGGCGGACGGGUGAGUAACACGUGGAUAACCUACCUAUAAGACUGGGAUAACUUCGGGAAACCGGAGCUAAUACCGGAUAAUAUAUUGAACCGCAUGGUUCAAUAGUGAAAGACGGUUUUGCUGUCACUUAUAGAUGGAUCCGCGCCGCAUUAGCUAGUUGGUAAGGUAACGGCUUACCAAGGCAACGAUGCGUAGCCGACCUGAGAGGGUGAUCCGCCACACUGGAACUGAGACACGGUCCAGACUCCUACGGGAGGCAGCAGUAGGGAAUCUUCCGCAAAGGGCGAAAGCCUGACGGAGCAACGCCGCGUGAGUGAUGAAGGUCUUCGGAUCGUAAAACUCUGUUAUUAGGGAAGAACAAAUGUGUAAGUAACUAUGCACGUCUUGACGGUACCUAAUCAGAAAGCCACGGCUAACUACGUG
RNAcentral lists this ribosomal RNA (497 nucleotides) under uncultured bacterium. RNAcentral's name for it is "partial 16S ribosomal RNA". It matches the Rfam family "Bacterial small subunit ribosomal RNA", at positions 28 to 507 of the family's 1533-position model. The record is from RNAcentral.